AAUCAACGCUGGCGGCGUGCCUAACACAUGCAAGUCGAACGAGAAAGGGGCUUCGGCCCUGAGUAGAGUGGCGGACGGGUGAGUAACACGUGGGUGAUCUACCCUCCAGUGGGGGAUAACACAUCGAAAGGUGUGCUAAUACCGCAUGGAGUUCCGGUUGUCGCGAUCGGAAUGAAAGCAGCAAUGUGCUGGAGGAGGAGCCCGCUCCGGAUUAGCUAGUUGGUGGGGUAAUGGCCUACCAAGGCAACGAUCCGUAGCCGGCCUGAAAGGGUGACCGGCCACACUGGAACUGAGACACGGUCCAGACUCCUACGGGAGGCAGCAGUGGGGAAUUUUGCGCAAUGGGGGAAACCCUGACGCAGCAACGCCGCGUGGACGAUGAAGGCCUUUGGGUCGUAAAGUCCUGUCAGCAGGGAAAAACACAAUGAUGGUACCUGCAGAGGAAGCUCCGGCUAACUUCGUGCCAGCAGCCGCCGUAA
This 479-nucleotide ribosomal RNA is filed under the name uncultured bacterium. Its description in RNAcentral is "partial 16S ribosomal RNA". It matches the Rfam family "Bacterial small subunit ribosomal RNA", at positions 32 to 523 of the family's 1533-position model. The record is from RNAcentral.